UGGCAUCCCCAAAUUCCUGUGAGUCCUUAUGUGCUCCAAACUUCUGGCCAGUUAACAGAUCUGCUCAUGUCUCUCUUAGAUGCACUGUUGUCUUGGAUCCUACCCUGCUAGCGUUACUUCAAAGAGGUGGACUAUCCUUACUUGUGUCAGCAUGCUCAACAUCAAGAAAAGAGUCAUUUAUGGAAAGAGGUUCAGUUUCAGUGUCUGCCUGGGAUAUACAAGGCAUUUCAGAGAAGACUGCCCUGGUGAAGAUGAGCUGACAGCUGAGAGGUGGUUUUGAUAUGCAGGUAGUUGAGAAAUGAAAGACAUUGAUCUGCACUUUAAGGAACAUUACGUGCACUGAUUUACAGAGCAAAGAAGUUGAUCUUUAGGUCUGGCUGGUUUAUUACAGUACAAAAAUUUGAAACAGUGGCAAGGCACACAGUGACAAGGGGCUUAUCUAAUUUCUAAAUUCAAGUUUAAUUUAAACAGCAGAAAGCUUAAAUUAUGAUAAUGUAUUAUUCAGAUCACAUGAACAAUGGGGGAAAUAGCUCAUUAUCUCAAAUACUGGUAUGUUAAAUAUCACUAAUAGGUAAAGCUGUGUCUCUUGGCACUGUGCUAAGAAAAUAUAUUUCUGAUUUACUUAUUGAUAUGUUAAUUCUUCCACAAAACUUUAAAAAAUAAAGUACUCUGAGUCCUUGAGAAAGUUCAGUGAUGGAAAUGUUAUUCUUCAAAAAUCAUGGCUAUUGAUAUGCCUGAUAGUUCAAAGAUAAAAUUCAUGUGAAGCCCUUUCUUAAGUGAGAGCCAACAAUAUAAAUAUUAAUGCUAUCAAUAAAUGAACCUAGAAAUUCAGUAUUACAAAUUCUUAGGAUAGUUUCAGCUGAUGUUCAGAUGAACUCAUAAAAUGCUUUGCUGCCUCAAGGCAAGUUUGCAGUGUGUAGUCUGUGCCUCUUUUCCCACAGACAGUCUCUGUGAGAAGCAUCUCAGUAUACCCACAUUCAUAUCAGGCGCCAGAAACAAAGCACUGCCCCAGAUGAGCAGAAACUUUCUAGAAGAAAUCGGACUGCCAGUAUUCAGAGAAAUGUGUUAAACAACUUUCUGAUAAAGCCUUUCACUAGAAUUAUUUUUAUUUUAGUCAUAAAACACCUUAAUCAUUCUCUUCUACCUUCUGCCUGAACAAAACAGAUAAGCUUUUUGUCUUACAGCACUCAGAUACCAAGACAUUAAGCAGCUCGUGGAAAAGACACAUAAUGUGUCAAGGCAUUGUAGGAUUCUGUUCAGCUGUAAAAUUAAAACUAGGAGAUAAAGUAAAAUACUUGAUAUGAUAGAGUACAGAUGCUCACAGUGGGCUUUGCUAAGCAUGUGUUCAUGUGUGUUCACAAGCAAUAUAUCAUAUUGCCCAUGCAGAAAAAGACAGAUUUAAUCUUGUUCAGGAAUAAUAGCAAAAUUCAAAAGAAAUGAGGCAAAAUUCAUUUUCUCUUUUCCACUGGAUCAUUAUGUCACAUUUUUGAGAAACAAUAUUCAUUCUCAGAUUCCAAUAAAAUAUCUGACCCCUGUGCUGAUUUCUUCCAUGUGCAGAAGUUAACUUGUACAUCUUAUUCCUCCUUCUUCCCUCCAAAAAAGACAAGGAAAUAAAAAAUCCAAGUCUCUCAGAAUGGUAUCAUACACAGCAACUUCCUAGAAGUAAUGAUUCAGCCAGAAAAUUAAGUAUGGAUUCCAAAUUAUUUGGAUUUUUUUUCCUCCUUACAUGUUACUUUGAGCCUCCUGUGCAUUCUUUGUCUCAAUUCAACACUGUGCUUUCUUUCUUUUGCUUCUGAUGCACUCUUGCUUGUCCUUUUCUCUCAGUACUGCUUUUCUGGAAUAGUUUAAGACUCAUUAUGCUUGGAUCAAUAAUAUGGCAUAUCUAGUCUUAGGAAAAGUUGUUGAGCAUGAAACUUAAGGGAAUAGAAAUUACCUCCCAGUUCAUGACACAUUCAAUUAAAAAGACUUGAUAGUGGAAGAAAACAUAAUUUUUGUACUCUAUCCUGACACAAAAUUUCACCAAAUAUGAACAUACUAGAGGUCUUUAAAACUUCAUGGACACAUCUGUAUCAGCUGUAAUUGUCUCAGAAUAUAAAGCUAGAUGUAUCAUUUUUGUUCACAAAAGGUUGUCUGUCAAUCUCAGUUAAAUAUACAAAAGUAGGUCUUUUCAGUGAGGAACUAUUUUUAAUAACUUCAUUUUCUGGUUUAAUUGCACUUCUGACUUGCUAAAAUAGCUACUGCAAGUGUCUGAGUAAAGAAAUGAACCUAAUUCAUUCUGGAUUUUGACCUACAUCCAUACACUACUGAUGAAAAUAAGCCUAAAUUACAAGGGUCAUAAGUAGCUCAUACCAUAGAAUAUUAGCUGGGGGUUUUUUGAUGGAUGGGGUUCGUUUGGGUUUUUUUUUUUUUUUUUUUUUUUGUUUUUUUUUGAUAAUUCAGAGUAUCUCUUUAACACUGGCAGUGAAGUAGAUUGCAGUUACGACUGUUACCUAGAGAAAUGUGGAUGUCUGCCUUCACGUUCUAACACAGAGCCUGCUGCGUUCAGUGUGACCUCCUCCUCAACUGCCAGCCUAGACACAUCACCUGAACAUAAAUGAUUAACGCUAGAAAUGAAGACUUUCAUGUUUGAUUACCUGUCACAAUUUACUGGUAAUUCUUUCUCUACCCUCUGGGUCUGAUUCAUCUUUCAGUUAUACUCAUGUAAAUACAGAGAAGCUUCACCAAGUUAAAGGAGUAAAAAUCAAUGAAAAAUUGUGGUGGCAAUAAAAUUAAGGCCCCUUGCUUUAAAUCUGGAGAUCUCUGAAGGCAACAAUGAAGGGUAAGAUUUCUUUAUACUUCACUUACAUUAGACCCAUUUAAUUGAUAUCAUAAAAAUGGGUGUCAAAACCUGCCAAAGUAUAUCAAUACUUUAUAUAUGAAAUUCUUAUUUUUAAGUGCCGAUAAAUCCUGAUAUACUUAAAAGUCCUUUAACAUUCUUCAUAAAGCAUAUAUCAUCAAUGACUUCUAUAAAAAGCUACUAAAUGUAGCAAUAGUGCAAUCUAAAGAACCACAUCAGCCAUUUUAAGAUCUGAGUUUUUUAUAUUCAGGUUCUCAUCAUAUGAAGACAUACUAGUCUCAGAAUAAACUCAAUUUGUGUCAUUUAGUACAGUCAUGCUAUCAUCAAACUUUUACAUAAAUGCAUAUCAUGGAACACUGGCAAUUUCAACCCAUGAUAGCUAGAUAACAGUCCCACAAGAUACCAAAUAUGCAAGUGUCUUUAAGGAUUUAGCUCAAUUACUAUUGAAGCAAGGAGAGUUAAGCAGUUGAAAGAGGACUUUUUUGUUUUGGCAGGGCUAAGCAUUUUACUGUUGUAAGGAUGCAAAGAACAACCUGACUGGAAUAGUUCCUUGGACAAUGUAAAUCAAAGGAUCUCCACUGACUUCAAAAGAAUGUGUGGAUUUACAUUACUUGGAGACUUGUCUAUUUGUUCAUGCUUUUAGAUUAAAUGUCAUUACUAUUAUUAGGAAAAGGUCAAACCAAGUGUCUAUGUUAUAAGACAAAAAUCUAAACAACCAUGCAAGACUAAAACACGUGUUAAUGAAAAGUGUCCUCUUUACCACUCACAGUUUACCUUUCAGAACUAGGCACCUUUGUCUUAACAAAUCUUCUGAAUUCUUUUUCAGAGAAUGAAACAAAAAUUUCUUUCUAUUUGAAGAAAUUUGCUUAUUAUUCUGGUUGUGAUUUUAAUGUAGAUGCUUUGCUUCUGCUUCCAUGUCAAGGGAAUGGAAGUGUGGAAUCUUUUGGGGUGUGGAACCUUUUUGAGCUCUUAUGAUUAAUUUGUAUAAACAGAGCAGCAUUAAAAAGUACUUAUAUAACAAGUAUAAAAAAAAUAAAAAUUAAAUUAGA
Long non-coding RNA from Parus major (Great Tit), 3885 nucleotides. RefSeq lists it as uncharacterized. The transcript is spliced from 2 exons. Lineage: Eukaryota; Metazoa; Chordata; Aves; Passeriformes; Paridae. The record is from RefSeq and is a predicted model, not a curated record.